GACGUAGGGCGCAAGCGUUGUCCGGAUUUAUUGGGCGUAAAGAGCUCGUAGGCGGCCUGUCGCGUCGACCGUGAAAACCCGCAGCUCAACUGCGGGCUUGCGGUCGAUACGGGCAGGCUGGAGUUCGGUAGGGGAGACUGGAAUUCCUGGUGUAGCGGUGAAAUGCGCAGAUAUCAGAAGGAACACCAGUGGCGAAAGCGGCUUCCUGGUCCAGCACCGACGUUCAGGCACGAAAGCGUGGGGAGCAAACAGG
RNAcentral lists this ribosomal RNA (253 nucleotides) under uncultured bacterium. RNAcentral describes it as "partial 16S ribosomal RNA". It matches the Rfam family "Bacterial small subunit ribosomal RNA", at positions 524 to 776 of the family's 1533-position model. The record is from RNAcentral.